UACUUGAUACUAUACUGCCGAUCGAUUCUCAUUUGUUCGAAGGAUGCUACAUGGAAUUAGGUGGAUGUCCCAGUUGUCAAUAUUGACAUAGCUGUGUACUGGUAUAUAGUCAUUUAGACAAUUUAUUCACCAUGAAAUACUGACUUGAUUUAUUUGUUUAAAACUGAACCUUUUAUGAAAUUUAUGGUAACAAUAUAUGUUUCUAGAUUGUUUGUCUUUUAGUGACAGCUUUUAAUUCUGUUUGGAACUUUGGGAUUCUGUAGACCAGGUUCGCUAAGUACGAACUAUGAAUCGAUAUUUGGCAGCUCCUAUUUUUGAGUUUUCAUCUUCUUUAUACCUGCCUUUCUAUGAGGUAUUGUUGUGUGACGGUUUCAGACAGUGAAGCGGCGGUGGCGGCGAUACAGAAAAUAUGAGAAGAUACAUCAUUGGGCGAGCCCUUGCUUCAACCACCAUGGGUCUAUGCUGGCUGUCAUCUCAGGACCUAGAUACUCAAAAGGAAGGCAGCCGGAGAAUCAUGUUCCCUUCAUGCAUAUACCCAAGAAAUAGAGAAGCACAAAUAACCUAUGAGGGUUAUACCUAGAAGAUGAAUGCAUUUAGACCCAAGAACCUACGUGAGGUGGGCAGUGAUGAUUCCAUCCAUGGAGGCAUGGAGCUUGAGAUUGUUGUUGCCCAGGAGGGAGCCGGGCUCACCCGGUUCUUUUUUUUGGUUAACUGUGUUGUUCAGUUCGCGAUCUCUGUGCGAGGAAUCAGCCAUUCAAGUUGCGCACUUAUUGCAGGGUUUGUAUGGAUUCAUGUUCACGACUAAAACUAUGAGGGAAUGUAAGCCUAUAGGAACCUUGCGCGGUGUGUUGUUGUUCUGGCGGUUUCUUAGUUUGGAUGACUGUGUCUCGCAUUGGUUCUAUUGGCUCUGUA
Long non-coding RNA from Lolium rigidum, 912 nucleotides. RefSeq lists it as uncharacterized. The record is from RefSeq and is a predicted model, not a curated record. The transcript is spliced from 3 exons. NCBI's taxonomy places the organism in Eukaryota, Viridiplantae, Streptophyta, Magnoliopsida, Poales, Poaceae.